CCACCCCGGACCCCUGCCCGCGGCGCAGGCGUCCUGUAGGGGGCGCUGUUAGCCCGCCCAGGAGGCCCUGCAGGCCCUCGCCGCCAUUUUCUCCUGCAGGCUGCUUUGCAAACCGUUGGCUUAAAGCCCAGGAGUGCUCCUUCCCGGCCCUGCAGAAAAUCAGCAGGCAGAAUGGAUUUUGCAUCUGUGAUUAUGUUUUAACCACAUGAGCAAUGAUUCUCCACAGGAGACAGCACUCCCUAAGUGGAGUUGGAGGAAUCUGUGGGGACACUUUGGGUUGUCACAGUGGCACUGAGUGAUGGCAGCCCGGGAUGCUGGAUGGCGAGCAAUGCCCUGGAGAGAACAAUCAAAACCUGUCCUGCAUUCCGUACACUUCUGGAGUGUUCCUCAGACACCAGGGUAGGUAAAGAGCAACUAUCAGGGCCUAGAACCUGACUCACUUUCACUUGUAAACAGCAAGUAUAUUUUGCACAAAUUUUAAUAUAAACUAUAUUUUCCAGGGUAAAUUGAGAAAAUUUGUUUGAAAAUUAACAUUCUAAAAUGUGUACCAUUUGAGAAAUUUACAUCGC
This 569-nucleotide long non-coding RNA is filed under the name Pan troglodytes (chimpanzee). RNAcentral describes it as "long non-coding RNA NONPTRT013523". Lineage: Eukaryota; Metazoa; Chordata; Mammalia; Primates; Hominidae. The record is from RNAcentral.